Molecule: ribosomal RNA, 484 nt
Filed under: uncultured bacterium
Lineage: Bacteria
Description: bacterial SSU rRNA
Rfam family: Bacterial small subunit ribosomal RNA
Source: RNAcentral
AUUGAACGCUGGCGGCAUGCUUUACACAUGCAAGUCGAACGGCAGCGCGUCCUUCGGGAUGGCGGCGAGUGGCGAACGGGUGAGUAAUACAUCGGAACGUGCCCAGACGUGGGGGAUAACUGCUCGAAAGAGCAGCUAAUACCGCAUGAGAUCUGAGGAUGAAAGCGGGGGACCUUAGGGCCUCGCGCGUUUGGAGCGGCCGAUGGCAGAUUAGGUAGUUGGUGGGGUAAGAGCCUACCAAGCCUGCGAUCUGUAGCUGGUCUGAGAGGACGAUCAGCCACACUGGGACUGAGACACGGCCCAGACUCCUACGGGAGGCAGCAGUGGGGAAUUUUGGACAAUGGGCGCAAGCCUGAUCCAGCAAUGCCGCGUGCAGGACGAAGGCCUUCGGGUUGUAAACUGCUUUUGUACGGAACGAAAAGCCUUCUUCUAAUACAGGAGGGUGAUGACGGUACCGUAAGAAUAAGCACCGGCUAACUACGUG